This is a long non-coding RNA of Balaenoptera musculus (blue whale), 535 nucleotides long. RefSeq lists it as uncharacterized. The record is from RefSeq and is a predicted model, not a curated record. The transcript has 4 exons. NCBI's taxonomy places the organism in Eukaryota, Metazoa, Chordata, Mammalia, Artiodactyla, Balaenopteridae.
AGUUCUGGUAGGAUCAGAACAUACUUACCAGCAGCGUUUCUUCCGAAUCUAACUCCAAAGGGAACUCCAAGAGAGAUUCUAGCAUAUGGCUUUGAAAUUGUCUGCCUCCUCAUGGGCUCUGUGACCAAUUAAAGACCGUGGCAAAUUCUUUUCAUCAAGAGAUAGGGUCUAUGCCUUUUCUCCCUGAAUCUGGAUGGACUCUGUGUGACUAUUUUGAGCAAGAGAAUUUGCUGUAAGUGAUGCUGUGCCAGUAUCCUGCCCAGGCCUUACGAUAUUGGCAGCUUCCUUUCCUGUCUUUUGGAACAUUUGCCCUUGCAACCCUGAGCUUCAUGUAAGAAGUCUGACUACUCUGCUGGAGAGGCCUCCUGAAGAGUACUCAAGAAUGCACCAAAAAAAAGUAGGGGAUCGGCUCAGGUGUCAGUUUGGCCACUGGAAUAUGUAGAUCUGAAAUAUUAAAAAAAAAACGGAUGCACUACUAUAAGGUUGAAAACCACUGCUCUACGGCCAUCUCUUCAGGGCAAGGUGAGUCAACAGA